RNAcentral lists this ribosomal RNA (466 nucleotides) under uncultured bacterium. Its description in RNAcentral is "partial 16S ribosomal RNA". It matches the Rfam family "Bacterial small subunit ribosomal RNA", at positions 28 to 507 of the family's 1533-position model. The record is from RNAcentral.
GAUGAACGCUGGCGGCGUGCUUAACACAUGCAAGUCGAACGGAAAGGCUCCUGCUUGCAGGGGUACUCGAGUGGCGAACGGGUGAGUAACACGUGGGUGAUCUGCCCUGCACUUCGGGAUAAGCCUGGGAAACUGGGUCUAAUACCGGAUAGGACCAUCGUUUAGUGUCGGUGGUGGAAAGUUUUUUCGGUGUGGGAUGAGCUCGCGGCCUAUCAGCUUGUUGGUGGGGUAAUGGCCUACCAAUGCGUCGACGGGUAGCCGGCCUGAGAGGGUGUACGGCCACAUUGGGACUGAGAUACGGCCCAGACUCCUACGGGAGGCAGCAGUGGGGAAUAUUGCACAAUGGGCGCAAGCCUGAUGCAGCGACGCCGCGUGGGGGAUGACGGCCUUCGGGUUGUAAACUCCUUUCGCCAGGGACGAAGCGAAAGUGACGGUACCUGGAUAAGAAGCACCGGCUAACUACGUG